GCCAAUAUCAUCAUGACCACAACUAUGACACCGAGGAGUGCAUGUAGCUAUCGGAAGAAAUUGAGACACUCAUUAAGCAAGAAUGGCUCAGAUGAUAUGUGGAUGGCUGAUCGAACCAAAAUAAUAUCUGUAUUGAACCUCAACAGCUCGAGGGCAAUCCUAAGAACAGACCUAUGGUAGGCAUCAUCAACACCAUCGCUGGAGGG
Molecule: long non-coding RNA, 206 nt
Filed under: Elaeis guineensis (African oil palm)
Lineage: Eukaryota; Viridiplantae; Streptophyta; Magnoliopsida; Arecales; Arecaceae
Description: long non-coding RNA (EGUI_LNC067531)
Source: RNAcentral